This 427-nucleotide ribosomal RNA is filed under the name uncultured bacterium. Its description in RNAcentral is "bacterial SSU rRNA". It matches the Rfam family "Bacterial small subunit ribosomal RNA", at positions 355 to 774 of the family's 1533-position model. The record is from RNAcentral.
UGGGGAAUUUUGGACAAUGGGCGCAAGCCUGAUCCAGCCAUGCCGCGUGCAGGAUGAAGGCCUUCGGGUUGGAAACUGCUUUUGUACGGAACGAAAAGGUGCCGUCUAAUAAAGGGCGCUCAUGACGGUACCGUAAGAAUAAGCACCGGCUAACUACGUGCCAGCAGCCGCGGUAAUACGGAGGGUGCGAGCGUUAAUCGGAAUUACUGGGCGUAAAGCGUGCGCAGGCGGUUUUGUAAGACAGAGGUGAAAUCCCCGGGCUUAACCUGGGAACUGCGUUUGUGACUGCAAGGCUGGAGUACGGCAGAGGGGGGUGGAAUUCCACGUGUAGCAGUGAAAUGCGUAGAGAUGUGGAGGAACACCGAUGGCGAAGGCAGCCCCCUGGGCCUGUACUGACGCUCAUGCACGAAAGCGUGGGGAGCAAACA